RNAcentral lists this ribosomal RNA (301 nucleotides) under uncultured bacterium. Its description in RNAcentral is "partial 16S ribosomal RNA". It matches the Rfam family "Bacterial small subunit ribosomal RNA", at positions 509 to 807 of the family's 1533-position model. The record is from RNAcentral.
CAGCCGCCGCGGUAAUACGGAGGGUGCAAGCGUUACUCGGAAUCACUGGGCGUAAAGGACGCGUAGGCGGAUUAUCAAGUCUCUUGUGAAAUCUAACGGCUUAACCGUUAAACUGCUUGGGAAACUGAUAAUCUAGAGUAAGGGAGAGGCAGAUGGAAUUCUUGGUGUAGGGGUAAAAUCCGUAGAUAUCAAGAAGAAUACCUAUUGCGAAGGCGAUCUGCUGGAACUUAACUGACGUUGAGGCUCGAAGGCGUGGGUAGCAAACAGGAUUAGAUACCCGAGUAGUCCCUGUCUCUUAUAC